RNAcentral lists this long non-coding RNA (5068 nucleotides) under Sus scrofa (pig). RNAcentral describes it as "lncRNA (ENSSSCG00000043746.1)". Lineage: Eukaryota; Metazoa; Chordata; Mammalia; Artiodactyla; Suidae. The record is from RNAcentral.
GCCACACCCACGGGAUGUGGAAGUUCAGGCCAGCGGUCAAAUCCAAGCGUACAGGCAGCAAGGGGGAAAUCACUUGGGGGGAAAAUGUAGAAGAGGUUCCACUUGAUGCUCUCCGACAGUCCUGAUAGUCAGCUUAUGGAUUCCACAAACAUGUGUUUUCCGUCAAGUGGAAAUAAUCAAGAAGGACCAAUUCAGGAGCAGCUCCAAGGAUGGAGCUUCCUUGUGAGCUGGGGUCCCGCAGACCCUACUUCCCUGUUGAGUCUCAGGUAUGGGCUGCAGGGAUCCCCCGAACAUCUAUGGGGCUGUUUGCUACAGAGCCGUCCAGGCAGGAACACUAGGCACCGUCAUUUCUCAGAUGUGAAAAAGCCCAUUUCUUUGGGUCUAAGCAGAGUAUAAAGAGAGGCCAUGCUUUCCCAGCAUUUCCAGAGAGAGCUUUUAAACAAGAGGACUAGUUCUCACAAGUACGCCCCAAACAAAGCACAUUGAUAAAAAUCACUGCUUGUUUUCCCAACAUCAUUAUCCUGCGGGAACCGGCAUUUCUCUUACUUUAGUUAAACCUUGCAUUCCUGGAUCAAGCUUCAGGGGAGAAAACCAUCCUGUUCACAAGUGUUUUCUCUUCUCCCAGGGUCCCACCUUUGGGCCUGGAACUUUCUUUUCACCUAGAUUUCCUUAAAGAGGUUGGGAGAUUGGAUUCUCACAAACCCCCCAGGAGGCUGUUCCUAGUUUCUUGGCAAUUUUCAUUUCUGCAAAUGAGAGCGCAGGGGCCAUUUGAAUCACUCAUAAUCCACAUUGGCUGGAAAUGUUCUUGUGGGUUUGUUUAUUCCGUCUCAAAAUUUCCCAAGUCUUCCCUCCCCUUUCUUUGCUGCCCUUCCUCUCCUGUGUGUCUGUACUAGCCUUUGUGGUCUCUACUGCAGGCCCCGGGCCAAGGCAAAAACAGAUUCUUUUCAUCUAUUCAAGUGUGAUCUGGGCCAGACAAGCCUGCUCCACAGGCCAGAGGCACAGAAAAGUAUUCUGUAUUCAGCUUUCAGCUCUGCAGACUCUAUAGCAGGGGCCCUGCCCUUGGCAAGGCCACAGCAGUGACCAGGGCCAUUUGGCAGACACGGAAAUGCUGUUUAUUUGGCCCCUGCUCGCCACCUGGAUGGAGCACCUUGGUAGGAGGAGUUGCAGGAACAGUGCAUCCUGUUCCAACCACUUCCUCUAAAUGCAUGCCCAAUUUUUUUUUAAAAAAAAAACCUUCUUUGGGAGUUCCCUGAUGGCUCAGUGGAUUAAAGAUCUGGUGUUGUCCCUGCUGUGGUUUGGGUUCGAUCCCUGGCCUGGGAAUUUCUGCUUGCCUAAAAAAAUCACUCCUCAAACCUUCUUCACCUCCCAAAGCAGCAAUUUCUAACGUGAGGCACUAGCUAAAUUUAGAGAGCAUUACGGUUGCUCUCAUGGAGUUGAUUAAUGUAAUGAUAAUAAAGCUGGUAUGUUAGCAUGUCGCAAUCAGCAGAGCUCCCUACCUGUCUUUAAUACAUAGCGGAGUCACGGCUUGAGGUAUGAUUAAUAGGAGAAGAGAACUAAGUGAAAAUAGAGAUUGAGGUAUCUAAGGAGACCUUUCCUUUGUGUCAAUUUACUAAAAAUAUGCUUUUUCUCUAGCGCCUUGGAAAAUUGCACCUCAAACUGAGUAUGAUAAUGUUAUUCAAAUAAGAGAGCCCACUAUCCCUUUUAUUAUUCAACAAUAUUCUAAAUGUGCUUUAUGAGAAUAAGCUAAGAAUUACAAGCAUUGGCAAGGGGGCAGCACAAUUAUCAUUGUUUGAUUAUAAUAUUGCAUUUCUGGAAAAACUAGAAACAACUAUUAUAAAAAUUCAGUAAGAUGGGAGGUUAUUGGAUAAAUACACACACUCUUUCUUAUAUUAAAAAAAAUGACCAAUUAGAAAAUAAAAAUGGAAACAACUCCUGUUACCAACAACAAAAAUGUAAAUUACCCAAGAAUAAACUGACAAAAAAUGUGUAGUAUCUAAAUGAAGGAUCCUGUAACACUAAGGAAAGUUUAAAAAAAAAGACUCAUUCUUGGGUAGUAAAUCUCAGUAUUGUAAGGAUGUCAAUUUUUCCCCAAACAAAUCUAUAAAUGGAAUGAAUUCCAACCAAAAUUUUAACAAGAUAAUAUUUGGAAGAAUACUAGGAAAAAAAGAUUCUGUUAAAGGAUAAUUUUCAAAAAGGUAAUAUCAUAACUAUCCAGCAAAUACAAAAUGAACAUGUGUCAAAAUCAUUAAUGAAGUAACCAGUAAGAUGUCAUGAUCAAUUGAGAGAGCAUUUGAAAAAUUUAUUAUAUAUAAUUAUUUUAACAGGGAAAUGUUAGGAUAAGGUUGUCAAGUUUGAUUUUCUUUAAAAAAACUGUUUGGGAGUUCCCGUUGUGGCUCAGUGGAAACGAAUCUGACUAGUAUCCAUGAGGACAAAGAUUUGAUCCCUGACCUUGCUAAGUGGGUUAGGGAUCUGGUGUUGCCGUGAGUUGUGGCAUUGGUUGCAGAUGAGGCUUGGAUCUGGAGAUGCUGUGGCUAUGGUUUAGGCCAAUGGCUACAGCUCUGAUUUGACCCUUAGCCUGGGAACCUCCAUAUGCCAAGGGUGCAAGCUUAAAGGACAACAACAACAACAAAAAAACUGUUUAAUGGCCAAUAGGCCAUAAAUCUUGGAGGUGAUCUGUCUUGCAAGACAGAAAUUAUAUGCACCUCCACCAGACAAAAAUCUAGAAUUCAGCAAGUAAUUUCACUAAGUCUGGAGACUUUAAUCAAGAGUAAACAAUGAACUAAGUACAUUUCCCUGCAUUUGUAAGGUGAAAUGACAUUGAAAGGAUGGGCUGCUCACCCUGGUCUUAUUUCCAUGACUCGGAUGAUUUUUCUAAACAUUCUAGUAGUUCUCUGGUGGAGUUCCCGUUGUGGCUCAGUGGUUAAUGAAUCCCGACUAGGAACCAUGAGGUUGCGGGUUCCAUCCCUGGCCUUGCUUAGUGGGUUCAGGAUCCGGCGUUGCCAUGAGCUGUGGUGUAGGUCACAGAUGAGGCUCGGAUCUGGCGUUGCUGUGGCCGUGGUAUAGGCUGGUGGCCACAGCUCUGAGUAGACCCCAUGGAGGUCUGGGAACCUCCAUGUGCCACAGGUACAGCCCUAGAAAAGGCAAAAAGACUAAAUAAAUAAAUAAAUAAAUAAAAAUUCUAAAGAUCAUCAAAAGAAUAAACUUAAGACUAAGUAAGUAAUUUUUGAAAAAAAAACAGAAACAAGGGAAGGGCAAUUUGCUGAAUGGACUAAAAUAAUAGGUAAUAACACCUGUAACACACAGGACAGUACCUUACCUUAGUCGGAUUUGUGAGAGUUUGAUGUCCAUUUUCACUGCUGUUCCUGCUUGGAAACUUGGGCGAUACAUGUCUUUCUGUCUUCUGGCACCCUCUGUCUGUCUGUCUCUCUCAGACCUGCAGCAAUCAAGCAAGCUGACUGCCCCGCCACUUCCCCCACACCCAGCCCCACCAUUUCCAAUCCAGCACAUCACUAAAGUCCUAAUGAUGAUAGGCUUCAACUCCCAUUUAGCCCAGUCCUCUGCUUUUAUACACCAUUAGCCAGAACCCUGAGGCGGGGAGGUGUGCACAACUUUCUAACAGUGAUCAUGAGGUUCAUAGCAGCCUUUUACACCCAAGGGAGACUGUUUUUUGGGGGAAAUAUUUUUGGGUGAAGUCUUUUCUUAGAUUCUGAGAACUGGAGCAAAUUCUUUUCUAUCUUCCAGUGUUUUUAGGAGUAAAUUUAUAUACAUCAUUGAUACCCAAAGAUGGAGCAUCUCCUUUUUUUUUUUUUUCUUUUCUUUAUUACUCUUUUAAUAGCCAUUUGGUCAAACGAUGCACUGGAAGACGGUGGAAGUAAAUUAAUCGCGAGAUCUGAGAUUUCAUCCUGAACCUGCCUGGGUAACAUCCCAGAUGUGAUUUCUCACUGGUGAAGAUUAAGAGGACUGGACUCCUCAGAGUUCUUUCUGCUCUGCGUGCACUGCUGCUGUUCUUCAAUCACAGGCUCUCCUGUGGGCUGAACAUGGCCAAGGAAAGCACAUCACUCUCAAGUCUCAAAAGCUCUUUUUCCUGUGCCUCUUGAACUAGUUUCAUAUUGGCAGUGUUGCCCUUGGGGGUUAGGUUAGAGAUAUCAGACGCUUACCCCUUCCUGGGGUUCUUGCCAGUAGAAUAAAAGUCAGGAGUUCCCACUGUAGCACAGUGGGUGAAUGAUCUGCCUUGUCUUUAUGGUGGCUCCAGUUUGAUUCCCAGCCCAGGAACUUCCAUAUGCUGCAGGUGCAGCCAAAAAGAAAGAGAGAAAAAAUAAAAAUCAAAAAGUAUUCUGAACAGGGGUCAAAGCCCUCUAGUAAUGGCUACACAAAGAAUUUAUCUAAUUCUUAUAUAGACCAAGGUUCGUUUCUGACUGACCCAGAAUUCUAGGCUAACCCACCAUUUCCUUACUAAAUUAGUUAAUCUCUUCUAAAAGAUAAUUCCCAAAUCUCUACUAAGCAGCCUUUCCUCUUGGAAUAUCACUUCAACAUUCAGGAAGCUGAACGUUCUUGGUAACAAUGUGUGGUUGUAAUCCUCGGGGAUACAGUUUAUUUUCCUUCAUUAUAACAGGUCAGAGCUUUCCUCUUGGCCAUUUGGUAUCUUCUUCAGGAAAGAAACAGAGACUGUGUCACUAGCUUGCUCAGAUCUCAGUGAGAAGUGAAAAGUUUAAGCAUUCCAAUGCUUUGCCUACGAGCCUGAAACUAUUCAGGUGAUUGACACAAUUUUCAUGUUUCACUCAAGUGUUCUGUGCAGGUAAAUAGAGCUGGACUGACUUGGUUUAGAACUUGGUUUUGGCCAUCUAAGCGGCUCUCCUGCCACUGUGUGAAAACAGACCAAAGAAUGAUUUAAGAUUUAUAUGUAUCUUGAAGGUUUGGUUGGAAAUAUUAAAUAUCUCAGCUUAUCUAUCCUGCAAUCCCUACCUGACUUAAAAUAUAAAUUAGAAGUUCCCGUUAUGGCUCAGUGGAAAUGAAUCUGACUAGUAUCCAUGAUCAACACAGGUUCGAUCCCUGGCCUCGCUCAGUGGGU